UACGUAGGGACCGAGCGUUGUCCGGAAUCAUUGGGCGUAAAGAGCGUGUAGGCGGCCUUUUAAGUCCUGCGUGAAAUCCUGCGGCUCAACCGCAGACGGUCGUGGGAAACUGGAAGGCUAGAGUGCGGGAGAGGAGAGUGGAAUUCCCGGUGUAGCGGUGAAAUGCGCAGAUAUCAGGAAGAACACCCGUGGCGAAAGCGGCUCUCUGGGCAGUAACUGACGCUGAGGAGCGAAAGCGUGGGGAGCGAACAGG
Molecule: ribosomal RNA, 253 nt
Filed under: uncultured bacterium
Lineage: Bacteria
Description: partial 16S ribosomal RNA
Rfam family: Bacterial small subunit ribosomal RNA
Source: RNAcentral